RNAcentral lists this unclassified non-coding RNA (335 nucleotides) under soil metagenome. RNAcentral's name for it is "partial contains 5.8S ribosomal RNA, internal transcribed spacer 2, and large subunit ribosomal RNA". The stretch from base 1 to 120 matches the Rfam family "5.8S ribosomal RNA", at positions 35 to 154 of the family's 154-position model. The record is from RNAcentral.
GAUGAAGAACGCAGCGAAAUGCGAUAAGUAAUGUGAAUUGCAGAAUUCAGUGAAUCAUCGAAUCUUUGAACGCACAUUGCGCCCGCCAGUAUUCUGGCGGGCAUGCCUGUCCGAGCGUCAUUUCAACCCUCAAGCCCCAGCCGGCUUGGUGUUGGGGACCGGCCCCGGCCGCCCCCCAAAUGCAGUGGCGACCUCGCCGCAGCCUCCCCUGCGUAGUAGCACAACCUCGCACCGGAGCGCGGAGACGGUCACGCCGUAAAACGCCCAACUUCUCAGAGUUGACCUCGGAUCAGGUAGGAAUACCCGCUGAACUUAAGCAUAUCAAUAAGCGGAGA